Molecule: long non-coding RNA, 3528 nt
Organism: Oreochromis aureus
Lineage: Eukaryota; Metazoa; Chordata; Actinopteri; Cichliformes; Cichlidae
Source: Ensembl
GUGGAUGUUCCCUUUGUGUGGAGAACGAAAGUUAACUGCACUUCUUGGUGUAGGAUUCUACGGCAAACAACUGAAGUUUAAUAUUAGAGGCGUAAUAUUACAAAUUUAAUAUUAAACUUCAGUUGUUUGCUAGGACUGGCGCUGGGGAGUACACAAAGCUGGAUGUGUACAUAAUGAAAAGAGAGAAAAAAUGCUGCCCUUCCUGAUUCUUCUGUUUCUAAACCCACUGAUUUCUGCCGCACAAGACCCAAAACCCAUCACAGCUAAGCCUGGAGACAACGUCAUUCUGCCAUGUCAAGCUCCAAACAGCAACAACCUCGCAGGUGUGGAGUGGAGCAGACGUGACCUGGAGCCAGAAUAUGUUCUUUUGCUCCGAGAUGGGCACAUUGUUCCAGAAGACCAGCAACCAUCUUUUAAAGACCGGGUGGAACUCCAGGACCAACAGAUGAAAAAUGGAAACGUGUCUUUGAUUCUGGAGAAAGUGACAGCUGCAGAUGAUGGAACAUACGAGUGCCGUAUCCUCACGCAUGGGGGAGAACGGAGAAAGAGAGCUGUGGAAACCAUCAGCGUCAUCAACCUUCAUGUUGUUCCUGCAGGUGAGUCAGACAGGAGAAGCCACAGAGGAUGGAGGAGGGAAGAUUGGAUCUGUUGAACCUGCAGCUAUUCUUUCAGUUUCUGCUCUGCUCCUUCUUCUUCUUGCUUCUGUUGUUGGCUUUGUGAUCUACAGAAAACGUAAACCACAACAGAGUCAGAAAUCAUACCAGCCUCCAGCUGAACAAUCGCCUGUCUGAAAAUUUUCAGAGCUUUUUUCAGCUUUACUUUAAAUUUCCUGCUGCUGUUCCAAGUUCUCCCUUCUGACAUUCAGCAUGUGGAAAUAUAAUAUAGGUCCGAAUCUGGGCCCUGUACUAUGAAGCAAGUCCAACAUACCCAGAGUAUCUUUCCUGACAUUGGUGGUCAUAAGAAGCUUGUCAUCUAGUUGCUUGGUUAACACAGAGUUUUCCAAUCUAGGUAUGAGUGAAUAAAAGAGGUGGCACUGGCAGCAUCUGGCCAUUCAUGUUGAGAAUUGUACUGGCAGAUAAGUGGCUGAUUUUGCAAUGAAAGAGUAAAUUGGAAAAAUGUGAAAAAGGUUAGAAAUAAUAUUAAAUAAAAGCAACACAGCUGCUGCAGAUCAAUCAGCACAGUGGGAGUUAAAGUAGAGCAGAGUAGUUCAUUCUUAAACGCGCUCUAAUGUGUGAGCCUUAAAUGUUUUGAAGAAUCUGAUGUAAUACAUUCUUGUAUUCUACAAAGUUAAUGUUCAGAUUAGCAAAAAACAGUUUUAUUUUUUACUUGUCAGCUGCAGCCCUGAUUGUGUAAAUAAGUAAAUAAUAAAUGCAAUAACAGGAUUCCAAUGUACCUGCUGUCCACCUGGAACUGAUAUAAAAUUCAAAAAUUCAAAUUCAAAUUUUAUUUGUCACAUACACAGUCAUACACAGUACGAUAUGCAGUGAAAUGCCUUAUACAACUGCUCGUGACCUAAAGAAAAAAAAGAAAGAAAAGGCUAUGAAUAAAAUAGGAAAUAAAUAUGAAAAUUAAAAGGGUGAAUUUAACUAGGAAGGAAUAAAAUAGAAUAUAUAUGAAUUAGAGUUGAAAAUAAAGUAACUGUACAACAAAAUGAACAGUAUGGAAAUAAUAAGAAUGUAUGAGGAAAUAUAAUAUAAAUAUAUAUGCAAUAUACAAUAGCAGCAGCUGUACAAAUAUUAAAUGGAAAUGAAGACAUAUAAGAAAUAUAAUGUCCAGUGUUGUGCAAACCACAAUGCACAUAUAAAGUCUUAUAAUAUAAUAAUGAUAUAAUAUAAUAUAAUAUAAAGACUUCGGACAACUACUACUAUCCACGCACUGGUCUGAAUGAUCUUCCAGGAAUGGUGAUGCUGUUUGUCACAGACUUAGUUUGCCAGUAGGAAGUGAUCUCACACCUCAUUUCAUACCUACAGAUCUCUAUGACCCAACCUGUUCAAUAGCAGGUUAGGUCAUAGAUUAACAAGGAACCCCAGGAAAAAGUGAACCACCUUCAUAGUACAGAAAACCCAGGUUGAACCCUGAAGUUACCUGGGUAAGACAAAAUUCUCCUAACAGGCCUUUCAUCUUCAGUUGCUUCGUAAUAAACGUCCAUCAUCUGAGGAAUAAUUGCCUCAUCAUCCUCACCUCAAAACAGAGAGCAAAGAGAAAAUGAAAUCACUUAUUCUAAAUGCUAAACCUUUUAUUGCUAAUCUAGCAAUAAAAUGUCUGUUAAGGGCAAAUAAAUAUGAAACAACAAGAAAAAAUGCAAGAAUAAAAAAUAACAAAAACUAAAACUUCCACAGUUUUAUAUAGAUUGAAUGCAUUCUGUCUCUGUCUGUCACAACAUGAACUAAAGAUUUGCUGUUGUGGUGUUUUGAUUGAGGGUCUGUCUGGUAAUGAUGUAUGUGAGUAGAUUAGUGACUGUGAGCCAAUUAUGAAAUGAUUCUCUGUUUAAUAUUAAUGUCUUGUUUGAAACUUCAAGUCUCCUCAUAAGCUACAGUUAAACAUAGCAUGUAUUUUACAAACAUAGUAUGUAUUUUACUGUUUCUUGCAUUUUUAUUUAGCAUCAGUUUUUUAAACAAAAUCCUGGUUGGGAGAUAUUACUUGUAUGAUUACCUGCUGAAGCUUUAAUGUGUGUUUUGAAAGACUAGUGUGAAAUGUAAAUAAAGGGAAAACUAUCAGUUUAUAUUGUUUUUGUUUUUCUGUUGUUUUGUGCUCAGGUUCUUUCCUUUAGUGGUGAAUAUGAAAACAACAACAACAACUGGCUAUUAUAAUCUUCAUGCAGGUCUAAUCUCACUGGGGACCACCUGAUCUCAGCUCCUACAGAGAGAGAAGCUACAGCACUAAAGAUUUAAAAGUCAAUCAUUUUUCCCUCAAGACACAUUUGAGUCUAAAGCUUCUCUUUAUACCUGAUAUAAAAGCUGCUUAUCAGUUAUUCAUUGAACAAAGUUCUCUCUGUAGAACACACACUGAUUAUACUCAAUAAAAGCUGGUAAUAAACUUUUAUUGAGUAUAAAAGUUUAUUACUUUUAUACUCAAUAAGUGCAGUUUAUACAAUAACUACAGUUAUAAACUACAGUUUAUAACUUUAGUUUAUAACUACAGUUUAUAAUUGUAGUUAUUGUAGUUAGCUUUCAAUAACUACAGUAUGUACCAAAAAUACUUUGGACUAAACUUAAAUUCAGCCAAAGCUCCUCAUGAGUUUGUGACUGUAACUAGAAGCAAAACAGUUCAUGUUAUUGUCUGAAGGUCAGCUUCAGCUCUGCCACCGUUUCUCAGCUUGAGGCAGGAAGAAGGUUUCAGUUCUUCUUCUCUGAGUCUAAAGUGCAAACUAAGCCUGAUGUGUAAACACACUGCUGAUCUUUGAUUCAGCUGCUUCAGGUUAAUGAGUGUUUCAGUCAGACUGCAGUAAACUCGUCACUCUGUACACUCUGAUUAAGGGCACGGGCUAUAUUAAAACUUUGAUGUUUUUAAUACAUACUCAAAUAAGAC